Molecule: long non-coding RNA, 842 nt
Organism: Anguilla rostrata (American eel)
Lineage: Eukaryota; Metazoa; Chordata; Actinopteri; Anguilliformes; Anguillidae
Exons: 3
Source: RefSeq, a predicted model, not a curated record
GCCAUAAUGCCGUUGGGAACCUCGUCUGACUCCAGCCCGGAGUACACCUGCAUGAGGUCAGCUGCUGGCACCUGCUCCACGAUCACCGCAGGAAACACUGACGGGUCGUCCAGCUAGAAGGACAGGGGACAGCGGCGUUAUGACGGGAAAAAGGGAUUCUGAGAUCGACCGCCGUCGAGGAGUAGCAGCGGCAGUAAUGUGAGCAUUGUAUCGGACGAUGGUGGGGAAGAAGGAGCUGAGACGAAAGGUCUGUCAGGUUGGGCCUGUAUCAGCCACUCUCUGAGGAGCCAUGGGGGGAUGGAACGAGCGAUGACGUGACUCGACGGGCAAGCUUUGCACCGGCCUGCCACGCAGAAUCCUGCACCCUGAUGACACUCGAGCGCGCGCAUGCGACCACGCAUGGAAACUCUUCUGCAAACGCUUAUGCACACGGAAAUCAGAAACCGCAUCACACGCAUUCAAAUGCAGUCAACAGUCUACCCCCCAUCACCCCUUUUCAGCACUGCAGUGUUCUUCUCUCCUUUACCUCUUCAAGCUACCCUGCCUUUCCCUACCAGACAGAGCUUUCCAAGUCCUUUCAAAACAUUCUCCUUUUCAUUGCCAUCUGUAUGGCCUAACUUCAAAAAGACUUAUUGUAUUAAUUUACCGCUUAGACCUCUCUUAAUCCCAGUUUUGUAGUUCUCCAUACGAGAAGAAGAAAAUCCUUUCAGACUUUACACAUCAGGCUGAAAAAUCAGGUAACAUUACAUGUGUAUGAAAUUGAUAACUGUUUGGCAAAAAUUUAAGAAACAGACAACAUAUGACUAUUUCUGUAAAAUUAGUAAACUGAUUGAUUGACAGAC